Non-coding RNA from Python bivittatus (Burmese python), 964 nucleotides. NCBI's taxonomy places the organism in Eukaryota, Metazoa, Chordata, Lepidosauria, Squamata, Pythonidae. The record is from RefSeq and is a predicted model, not a curated record.
UUUAAACCUUAAACAUGUUCUGUCAGAUUUGCUCUUUGUCUUUGUCUAGGCAACUCUUCUGCCAUUUCAUCUCUCAGAAUUGCACUGAAAUCCAGGGGUGAAGAUAGAGGCCAUGCAGUCAAAAUUCAGUAAGAGGCCACUGCCACCUUUUCAUUCCAAGAGGAUGAGAAAUUGGGUCUUCCACUAUUCCUGAAGUCAAAGGAGAGAACCUGCUCUUUGUUGAAUCCGAUUGCUGCAAAUUAAUCUGUUUUGUGAAAAUUUCAUUUUUGUAAAAUAGAAACAUGGCUAUCAGGACUCAUAUAACAGUAAUGUUAAAGGACAACUAUGUACUAUCUAAGAUGUUUCAGGCCAUGAUCAUGGAAGGCAUUUCAGCUAUUCCAGAGACAUCAUCAACUUUUGCUGAGGUGCAACAUUCCCAUUUAUUUCUUUUAGCUUCUUGUCUAUUCUGAAUGCCAUUUUGACUUCUCCGAAUUCCCUACAGUUUCUGAUGCAGCCUCUGAAUGUUCACUUUGGAACAAUCCAGCCUACUUCCUUUGCACAGAAAGUCAGUUGUGUAUAUAAAUGACAAGACAGAACCAGCUGGAAAACAAAUGAGAGGAGAGGGGCAAUAGAGGCGAAGGAAGACAAUGAGUGAAGAUUUGAGUGAAGGUCUCAGUCUUUAGCUUGUUGCUAAGAAAGCCUUGCCAGCAGCCAUUCGUUGAUGUACCUGAGUACCAGAACUCCUACCAAAGACCAUGCUCUUAAUACCUGGUGAAAACUGUAAGGGGAAAGCUAACACCUGCUAGCGUUACACCUGGCUGGCUCAGCGUCUGCUUAUCAGCCGCCUGCUUUUUAUAGGUAGAGUAUUAAAUAAAACACACAAAACUUUGUGUUUCCUUUGACUUUGUAUUGGGAAGUAUUUCUGGAUUUCCCAGCUCUUUCUGACAGAAGGGUGUGAAAGCUUGGCUGGAUGACAUAAGCCAAA